Molecule: ribosomal RNA, 486 nt
Filed under: uncultured bacterium
Lineage: Bacteria
Description: partial 16S ribosomal RNA
Rfam family: Bacterial small subunit ribosomal RNA
Source: RNAcentral
AUUGAACGCUGGCGGCAUGCCUUACACAUGCAAGUCGAACGGCAGCACGGGUGCUUGCACCUGGUGGCGAGUGGCGAACGGGUGUGUAAUAUAUCGGAACAUGUCCUGUAGUGGGGGAUAGCCCGGCGAAAGCCGGAUUAAUACCGCAUACGAUCUACGGAUGAAAGCGGGGGACCUUCGGGCCUCGCGCUAUGGGGUUGGCCGAUGGCUGAUUAGCUAGUUGGUGGGGUAAAGGCCUACCAAGGCGACGAUCAGUAGCUGGUCUGAGAGGACGACCAGCCACACUGGGACUGAGACACGGCCCAGACUCCUACGGGAGGCAGCAGUGGGGAAUUUUGGACAAUGGGCGAAAGCCUGAUCCAGCAAUGCCGCGUGUGUGAAGAAGGCCUUCGGGUUGUAAAGCACUUUUGUCAGGAAAGAAAUCCUUGGCCCUAAUACGGUCGGGGGAUGACGGUACCGGAAGAAUAAGCACCGGCUAACUACGUG